This 327-nucleotide ribosomal RNA is filed under the name uncultured eukaryote. RNAcentral's name for it is "partial 18S ribosomal RNA". It matches the Rfam family "Eukaryotic small subunit ribosomal RNA", at positions 1470 to 1796 of the family's 1831-position model. The record is from RNAcentral.
CCCUUAGAUGUCCUGGGCCGCACGCGCGUUACACUGAUGCAUUCAACGAGCAUAUAACCUUGGCCGAGAGGCCUGGGUAAUCUUGUUAACAUGCAUCGUGAUAGGGAUAGAUUAUUGCAAUUAUUAAUCUUGAACGAGGAAUUCCUAGUAAUCGCAGUUCGUCAAACUGCAAUGAUUACGUCCCUGCCCUUUGUACACACCGCCCGUCGCACCUACCGAUUGAAUGGUCCGGUGAGGACUCGGGAUUGUGGUUUAGCUCCUUCAUUGGGGCCUGACUGCGAGAACUUGUCCGAACCUUAUCAUUUAGAGGAAGGUGAAGUCGUAACA